CAUUCCUGCUCCAGCUGUCAGUCCUGUGAAGUGAGACCCCACCCACUGCUCUGAAUAGGAGCUCCACAUAGAUGGCACAUAUUCUGCAGGCCUGAAAAAUACAAGAGCUAUGAGGGUGUGCCUUUGUCCCCAUGGAUUUCAAAGAAUGUUAUGAUGGCACAGAGACCUCAACAGAACCUAGAUACAAGGAUUGAGCCUCUACACAAAGCCCUUCCUAGGGCAAUGCCUCCUGGAACCAUCUAAAGUCUAACGAUGUAACAAUUGUAAUCCACUGAAUGGAUUUCUAAUAUUCUAGACUUCUGCCUUAGAGCAUUAAUAAUAAUUUGAUUGAAGAGAAGGAUAAUAACAGUGAACCAACUCUAUCAUGUUUAACCCUGUAUAGUAUUUACAGAUAGCAGAAUAGGAAAAGAGGCUGUAGCUGUCUGUUGCUGAUAAGAAGGCAGAUGUUGAGUUUGGUGUCAUCUCAGAGCCCUCCUUCACCAGAAGAUGCCAGGAAGAAAAAAGGAUGGAGACAUGCUGAGGGAGCACAGCAAUUCUAAAGCCCUGCUGGCCUCCUCUACUUGGCCCAUUACCUCUUUGGUGCAUGCCUUUCUAUCCCUCAGUCCUUUGAUGCUCCUGACUCCACCCUUCAUCUGAGAAGGCCUCCUCUUCCAGGGCUCUAAGGGGGUAACUAGAAUGGCUAGAUUUAAACAUUCAUUCUUCCAGAUACAUUAGUUGCCUAUGGCACUAAAAUGAUUAGGAUUGCUUUAGAAAUAAAGUAUCACUUGCUUAAUUUAUAUAAUGGGAUUCGAAAGAAAGGGCAAAUGCUUGACUUACAUUUCAUAUGCAAAAA
Long non-coding RNA from Mastomys coucha (southern multimammate mouse), 832 nucleotides. RefSeq lists it as uncharacterized. The record is from RefSeq and is a predicted model, not a curated record. The transcript has 3 exons. Lineage: Eukaryota; Metazoa; Chordata; Mammalia; Rodentia; Muridae.